AGUAACACGUGGGUAACCUGCCCGGAAGUGGGGAAUACCUCGGGGAAACUCGAGCUAAUACCGCAUGACAUCUUCGGGACGAAAGUCCUGACGAUCAAAGCGGGGUCGCAAGAUCUCGCGCUACCGGAUGGGCCCGCGCCUGAUUAGCUAGUUGGUGGGGUAACGGCUCACCAAGGCUUCGAUCAGUAACCGGCCUGAGAGGGCGAUCGGUCACACCGGGACUGAGAGACGGCCCAG
Molecule: ribosomal RNA, 237 nt
Filed under: uncultured bacterium
Lineage: Bacteria
Description: partial 16S ribosomal RNA
Rfam family: Bacterial small subunit ribosomal RNA
Source: RNAcentral